Small nucleolar RNA from Lemur catta (Ring-tailed lemur), 83 nucleotides. RefSeq annotates it as small nucleolar RNA SNORA17. The transcript has a single exon. Lineage: Eukaryota; Metazoa; Chordata; Mammalia; Primates; Lemuridae. The record is from RefSeq and is a predicted model, not a curated record.
UCUGCCUCUCAGGUCAGUGCAUAUGUGUGUGUUUUAUGCGCACAGAUGUGGCAUGAAGCAGGCAGAGAGAACAGAUGCAGACA